This 465-nucleotide ribosomal RNA is filed under the name Vreelandella stevensii. Its description in RNAcentral is "partial 16S ribosomal RNA". It matches the Rfam family "Bacterial small subunit ribosomal RNA", at positions 338 to 795 of the family's 1533-position model. The record is from RNAcentral. Lineage: Bacteria; Pseudomonadati; Pseudomonadota; Gammaproteobacteria; Oceanospirillales; Halomonadaceae.
CCUACGGGUGGCUGCAGUGGGGAAUAUUGGACAAUGGGGGCAACCCUGAUCCAGCCAUGCCGCGUGUGUGAAGAAGGCCCUCGGGUUGUAAAGCACUUUCAGUGAGGAAGAACGCCUGGUGGUUAAUACCCAUCAGGAAAGACAUCACUCACAGAAGAAGCACCGGCUAACUCCGUGCCAGCAGCCGCGGUAAUACGGAGGGUGCGAGCGUUAAUCGGAAUUACUGGGCGUAAAGCGCGCGUAGGUGGCUUGAUAAGCCGGUUGUGAAAGCCCCGGGCUCAACCUGGGAACGGCAUCCGGAACUGUCAAGCUAGAGUGCAGGAGAGGAAGGUAGAAUUCCCGGUGGAGAGGUGAAAUGCGUAGAGAUCGGGAGGAAUACCAGUAGCGAAGGCGGCCUUCUGGACUGACACUGACACUGAGGUGCGAAAGCGUGGGUAGCAAACAGGAUUAGAUACCCGAGUAGUC